This 583-nucleotide ribosomal RNA is filed under the name fungal sp. Its description in RNAcentral is "eukaryotic LSU rRNA". The stretch from base 225 to 378 matches the Rfam family "5.8S ribosomal RNA". Lineage: Eukaryota; Fungi. The record is from RNAcentral.
GGAAGUAAAAGUCGUAACAAGGUCUCCGUUGGUGAACCAGCGGAGGGAUCAUUAUACAGUUCUUUCUGUAAAACCCUUGACAACCUACCAUCUGUUCGCUCCCUCGGCGGGCGGCGCCUUCGCGGAGGCGCCCCCGGCCCGGCCUCGCCGGGCGCCCGCCGGAGGGGCACACAACCAAACCAUUGUUAUACUGCGUCCCUCCGAGUAAACAAAAAACAAGUUAAAACUUUCAACAACGGAUCUCUUGGUUCUGGCAUCGAUGAAGAACGCAGCGAAAUGCGAUAAGUAAUGUGAAUUGCAGAAUUCAGUGAAUCAUCGAAUCUUUGAACGCACAUUGCGCCCGCCAGCAUUCUGGCGGGCAUGCCUGUUCGAGCGUCAUUUCAACCCUCAGCCCCCCAGGGCUGGUGUCGGGGCUCCCGGUGGCAACGCCGGGUCCCUCAGAGCCAUCGGCGGACCGCCGCGGUCUCCGGGCGCAGUAAUUCUUCUCGCCCUGGAGGACGCGGUGGCUCCCGCCGCUAAACCCCCAAACUUCUAAGGUUGACCUCGGAUCAGGUAGGAAUACCCGCUGAACUUAAGCAUAUCA